RNAcentral lists this long non-coding RNA (375 nucleotides) under Homo sapiens (human). Its description in RNAcentral is "HSALNT0033864". The record is from RNAcentral. Lineage: Eukaryota; Metazoa; Chordata; Mammalia; Primates; Hominidae.
CCGAAGUCAAGACCUUCUGGGCCCAGUGGAGGUGCUGGGCUGCUCCGGGACACCAUCACCACUUCACCAUCCACAACAUCCUCAAGAGCUGAGCAGCCCUGCACAGACCCUGGGGGGCUUCCUGUUCCACAAGCUCCACUCCCUUUUUCCUCUCCAUCUUUGCUGUUGGGCCUCCCCUCCAAAUCUGCCUAACAAAGGCAGCACAAUCUUUAAUACCUGUGCAGCUUUGUAAAUGGAGACAGGAUACUCUCUUUUGAAAGCUGAGAUUCCCUGUCCAGUCUGGGGGAGGAAAAAAUGGGCCUGGUAACCCUCAUAGCCCCUGUCCCUAAGAGAAUGCUUGACAUGUAGCACACUCUCAAACUUGUUCAAUAGUUG